UGAUAUGUUUAGAUUUGAUUCGUUUUUGUUUCAGGUUUUUGGGUGCUUCUGUUUCUAAUCUUUACAAAACCAUUGAGAUUAAAUAAUUAUAGGAUUGAAAUCAUUGGGUAUUUUCGUUUCUAAUACUAAUUUUCCUUUUUCAAUCUUAUUUUAGGUCUUUCUGCCGGAACAUCAUACACCCAGAUAGAGUCCGUUAGGCACAAAGAGACAGGCCGCCGUAUACCUGUAACCGCAGGCAUUCUAUACUGUUGGUAUUGGAGUUUGGAUAAGGAAUGCAACUGAUGUCUGUUUUUCUUAAUGGCACUCUGUUUUUGUUAGAGAGGUUUUGAGGGUCCCAUGGUCUAGAUUUUUGAUGAUUAUGUGGAAAUACGAUAUUGUUUUCUCUACAAGAUUCUAGAAAUUAUUAUGUAGCUUUCUAUUUCUGUUGUUGCAUUUGAUGUGAUUAAUCAGUGCUUACCUUUGGAAUCCUAAUGUGUUUUUGCAUUGUUAUCCUUCGGCUCUAUAUUUUGUACAUAUAUAUAUAUAUAUAUAGUAAAUUCAUUAUUUAGUUUUUUUUUUUGGUUGGUUGUAAUUUCAACACUCUUUUUGCUAUAACAUACAGCUAUUUAGACAA
Long non-coding RNA from Quercus robur (English oak), 613 nucleotides. RefSeq lists it as uncharacterized. The record is from RefSeq and is a predicted model, not a curated record. The transcript has 2 exons. NCBI's taxonomy places the organism in Eukaryota, Viridiplantae, Streptophyta, Magnoliopsida, Fagales, Fagaceae.